CGUGACAUGACCCCCGACGGUUCCUUUCGGGCUUCGGCCCGCGAGGAGGCAAGAGGGAACACGGUUCGGAGGCGACUGCCUUUCACGCCGUGGCUGCCCCCGCAACUGUAGGCGGUCCGUCCGCGCAUCGGCAGGGGUCCGGGCCCUGCGCCACUGAAGCCGUUUGCCGGCAUCGGGAAGGUCGUGUGCGGGCAUCCAUGGAGCGCGAGCCAGGAGACCUGCCGUCGGUUCAGUCGUCAU
Molecule: non-coding RNA, 240 nt
Filed under: Tanticharoenia sakaeratensis
Lineage: Bacteria; Pseudomonadati; Pseudomonadota; Alphaproteobacteria; Acetobacterales; Acetobacteraceae
Also listed under: 1 other name
Source: RNAcentral